This 371-nucleotide long non-coding RNA is filed under the name Homo sapiens (human). RNAcentral describes it as "HSALNT0394027". The record is from RNAcentral. Lineage: Eukaryota; Metazoa; Chordata; Mammalia; Primates; Hominidae.
CCCCCACCCUUCCUUCCGAUCCUUCACUCUUUCACGUCUCCUACAAUCUCUCUCUCUCUCUCUCUCUCAUUUUCAUUUCCUCCCUCAUUUGAUUCUUUCUCCAUUUCCCUUCCCCACUGUCUGUUUCUCUCCUUUCUCUUUCCUGCCUACCCCCUGCACAGUCACAGUUGUCAGUGGCACACACACAUUCGACCCCUUUUCAGGCUGCGCUGCUAGAAUGGAGUGAAUCUGAGACCUCACAGGAGUUGCUAUGUCUCACAGGAUGACUUCUCACACAGCUUUGAGGAAAGCACUUCUUAAUAGAAAUGAGUCAAUGCCACAUUAUUAGAUGAGUGUACAAGAUAAGAAAGCUUGUUGCAGACAUCUUGGAA